GACGUAGGUGGCGAACGUUAUCCGGAAUCAUUGGGCGUAAAGGGUGCGUAGAUGGCUUGAUAAGUUAGCAGUGGGAAAUCGAGGCUCAACCUCGUGGAAGCUGGUAAUACUGUCAGGCUCGAGUGCAGGAGAGGUUAACGGAACUCCAUGUGGAGCGGUAAAAUGUGUAGAUAUAUGGAAGAACAUCAAUAACGGCGAAGGCAGUUAACUAUUCUGUUACUGACGUUGAGGCACGAAAGCGUGGGGAGCAAAACGG
Molecule: ribosomal RNA, 256 nt
Filed under: uncultured bacterium
Lineage: Bacteria
Description: partial 16S ribosomal RNA
Rfam family: Bacterial small subunit ribosomal RNA
Source: RNAcentral